UGAUAGGCCGGGUGUGGAAGCGCAGCAAUGCGUGAAGCUUACCGGUACUAAUCGCUCGAUUGGCUUGAUCGU
This 72-nucleotide ribosomal RNA is filed under the name Rhizobium subbaraonis. Its description in RNAcentral is "Rhizobium sp. JC85 Bacterial large subunit ribosomal RNA". It matches the Rfam family "Bacterial large subunit ribosomal RNA", at positions 2853 to 2925 of the family's 2925-position model. The record is from Rfam by way of RNAcentral. Lineage: Bacteria; Pseudomonadati; Pseudomonadota; Alphaproteobacteria; Hyphomicrobiales; Rhizobiaceae.